CGUGGCGCUGGCGCAGGCGGAGCUGGCCCAGGUGCUGCGGCUGCGCGGGGAGUUCGCGGAGGCGGACGCGCUGUUCGACGCGAUCGUCACGGCC
This 94-nucleotide transfer RNA is filed under the name Spirilliplanes yamanashiensis. RNAcentral's name for it is "tRNA-Pro". The record is from RNAcentral. Lineage: Bacteria; Bacillati; Actinomycetota; Actinomycetes; Micromonosporales; Micromonosporaceae.